GGGUUGCUAGCUCAAUUGGUCAGAGCUGCUGACUCUUAAUCAGUAGGUUCGGGGUUCGAGUCCCCGGCAGCCCA
Molecule: transfer RNA, 74 nt
Organism: Kibdelosporangium phytohabitans
Lineage: Bacteria; Bacillati; Actinomycetota; Actinomycetes; Pseudonocardiales; Pseudonocardiaceae
Rfam family: tRNA
About the family: Transfer RNA (tRNA) molecules are approximately 80 nucleotides in length. Their secondary structure includes four short double-helical elements and three loops (D, anti-codon, and T loops). Further hydrogen bonds mediate the characteristic L-shaped molecular structure. tRNAs have two regions of fundamental functional importance: the anti-codon, which is responsible for specific mRNA codon recognition, and the 3' end, to which the tRNAs corresponding amino acid is attached (by aminoacyl-tRNA synthetases). tRNAs cope with the degeneracy of the genetic code in two manners: having more than one tRNA (with a specific anti-codon) for a particular amino acid; and 'wobble' base-pairing, i.e. permitting non-standard base-pairing at the 3rd anti-codon position.
Source: Rfam